CGGCGGACGGGUGAGUAACACGUGGAUAACCUACCUAUAAGACUGGGAUAACUUCGGGAAACCGGAGCUAAUACCGGAUAAUAUAUUGAACCGCAUGGUUCAAUAGUGAAAGACGGUUUUGCUGUCACUUAUAGAUGGAUCCGCGCCGCAUUAGCCAGUUGGUAAGGUAACGGCUUACCAAGGCGACGAUGCGUAGCCGACCUGAGAGGGUGAUCGGCCACACUGGAACUGAGACACGGUCCAG
Molecule: ribosomal RNA, 244 nt
Filed under: uncultured Staphylococcus sp.
Lineage: Bacteria; Bacillati; Bacillota; Bacilli; Caryophanales; Staphylococcaceae
Description: partial 16S ribosomal RNA
Rfam family: Bacterial small subunit ribosomal RNA
Source: RNAcentral